RNAcentral lists this ribosomal RNA (496 nucleotides) under uncultured bacterium. Its description in RNAcentral is "partial 16S ribosomal RNA". It matches the Rfam family "Bacterial small subunit ribosomal RNA", at positions 28 to 506 of the family's 1533-position model. The record is from RNAcentral.
GAUGAACGCUGGCGGCGUGCCUAAUACAUGCAAGUCGAGCGAACGGACGAGAAGCUUGCUUCUCUGAUGUUAGCGGCGGACGGGUGAGUAACACGUGGAUAACCUACCUAUAAGACUGGGAUAACUUCGGGAAACCGGAGCUAAUACCGGAUAAUAUUUUGAACCGCAUGGUUCAAAAGUGAAAGACGGUCUUGCUGUCACUUAUAGAUGGAUCCGCGCUGCAUUAGCUAGUUGGUAAGGUAACGGCUUACCAAGGCAACGAUGCAUAGCCGACCUGAGAGGGUGAUCGGCCACACUGGAACUGAGACACGGUCCAGACUCCUACGGGAGGCAGCAGUAGGGAAUCUUCCGCAGUGGGCGAAAGCCUGACGGAGCAACGCCGCGUGAGUGAUGAAGGUCUUCGGAUCGUAAAACUCUGUUAUUAGGGAAGAACAUAUGUGUAAGUAACUGUGCACAUCUUGACGGUACCUAAUCAGAAAGCCACGGCUAACUACGC